UACGAUCGUGUCCCAGCCCGUGUCUGUACCCUUGUAACUCUCUUACUUGGGUUAUAUGGUUAAGUCAUACGCCCGUGUGCUAGGCCGUGUGUAGGUGCAGGGAUCACAAGGCCAAGCCACACGCCUGUGUGCCAGGUCGUAUGAUCAAAUUUGAGCAUUCUGUUUGAAAAUCUAAAGAUGUAGGGGACACAUGGCCAAACCAUA
RNAcentral lists this long non-coding RNA (204 nucleotides) under Gossypium barbadense (sea-island cotton). Its description in RNAcentral is "long non-coding RNA (GBAR_LNC010795)". The record is from RNAcentral. Lineage: Eukaryota; Viridiplantae; Streptophyta; Magnoliopsida; Malvales; Malvaceae.